AUACGGAGGGUGUAAGCGUUACUCGGAAUCACUGGGCGUAAAGCGCGCGCAGGCGGCUAUUUAAGUUGGAUGUGAAAGCCUACGGCUCAACCGUAGAACUGCAUCCAAAACUAUUUAGCUAGAGUGUGGGAGAGGAAGAUGGAAUUAGUUGUGUAGGGGUAAAAUCCGUAGAGAUAACUAGGAAUACCAAAAGCGAAGGCAAUCUUCUGGAACACUACUGACGCUGAGGCGCGAAAGCGUGGGGAGCAAACAGGAGUAGAUACCCUAGUAGUCC
RNAcentral lists this ribosomal RNA (274 nucleotides) under uncultured bacterium. Its description in RNAcentral is "partial 16S ribosomal RNA". It matches the Rfam family "Bacterial small subunit ribosomal RNA", at positions 523 to 796 of the family's 1533-position model. The record is from RNAcentral.